GUCGCGGAUGCGGCCGCCCGUCCCCGUCGUCGCACCGCUGAAUGGCGCCACGCCUGAAAGUUUGGCGAAGCACCGCAUUAAGUCGAGCAAUGCCAUUGGCCAUGUGCGCCACGACGUCAAACCAACAGCGGCUAUGUUGCCGGGACUCUCUCCAACAGACUUGCUAUGGUGCAACCAACAAAAGCAGGCGAGCUGCAAGCGUACCUGCUGUUAUCCGAGAACUUGAUGACGUUGUUGUCGUUACUGGUGUCCUGAGUGGCCGUGAUGAGAGAGAAGAGAGAUCCAG
Ixodes scapularis (black-legged tick) is the source of this 286-nucleotide long non-coding RNA. RefSeq lists it as uncharacterized. The record is from RefSeq and is a predicted model, not a curated record. NCBI's taxonomy places the organism in Eukaryota, Metazoa, Arthropoda, Arachnida, Ixodida, Ixodidae. The transcript has 3 exons.